UGAAAGCCAAACUGUCAAUCCCUUAAUCAGUUAUGAACAAUGUGAGCAAUGUCUGUCUAAUCGGUAAAUGACCAACUAGUCUGGGAGGCUCCUAUAAUGGUGCUCAAAUAACCGCCAGGUUGGUAAUUAUUCAUGUCUGGGAAGGGAAGAAGAAAUCCCCUUUGGGAAGCAUUGGUCCUGCUGGUUCAGAGGGCAUCAAAACCUGGUGCAACACAUUUCCUCGAGAGUUAGCAAAAAGUGCAAGAAAAUGGGGAAAUGGGAAAACUUUGGGGGCAUGGUGGGGUCAGCUGUUUUUAGGGACAUGAGUCCUCUGACCUCUUGGCAUCAGGUGUGGGAUAAUAGGAGCGGUGUAAGCUCGAGGCCCCGGUACAGCCUGCAUGGAACCAUUUUUCAUGAGGGCACCAUGCUGUCAGCCCGUCCAAACACCUGAAAAUUCAAGCACAGGCAGCGAGCAACCCCCUGCAGCAAAGCAACUGCCAACACGCGCGGGUUUCAGCUUAACCAGGGCAUCACUUAAUAGGUGUGAAAAGCGGCUGUGUGCAAAAUGCAAACAUCUAUCGAGGAAUGCCGAGCUUCGUUUAGUGGCGGGGCAAUGGCAAAUUGGGCAGAAAAAAACAUGUAAAUAACAUUUACUCGGAGGUGUUCUCGAUUGCAAGGCUGUGCACUGAGCAGUGAGACAAGCGCAGGUGGAAAGCACUGCAGAGGAUGCUCCUGCUUGCAGCACCAUUGUGGGAGAGGUGUUUGGGGGUAAACUAGAGGCAAUCCCACUGCUUUUCCCGGCCCUGAGCAUCCCUAAAGACCUUGCACAGGUUGAAGGACUCAGGGGGUGAGGUUUUUGGGGGAAACACCCCACUUUUUUCCUCACUGUUAGGGCGGGCUCCACCACCGUGUACAUACACCCAGUGUGAGCAUGCAGGAAGAAUUCCUAACUUCAUUAUUCACCCUCGAAUACAUAUCAAAGCCUCUGUCUGCUUUAAUGCCUUUUCUCAUCUCCAGCCAGCCAUCAUCAGUGCAGGAUAUCUUCCUUGGACACGUGGAGGUGAUGCCCUGGGAGCACAGGCCAUGCUGUCCCUGGAGACCUGCAGCCCCUUCCUCACGACCUGCUGUUUCUCCUCGACCUUCAGGUGAUCCCAUGGUUAUAAGCAGCGGGUUUGAUACACGGCAUGGUGCAGGAUGUGUCCACCUCUCCCCCAAGCCUGUGCACACUCAUAGCAUCCUGGCUCUAGCUUGGCAUCCAGGUCCUUUCUUGCUCUUACAUCCCACGCUCUGCAUUUCAUCCAGCCUCAGCACAAAAACUCCUGGAAACACCUCGUCCUGCACCUCAUCCGCAAGUGACCCCAGGAUUGCCUCCACCACACACCUCAUAGACCUCAAUUUGCAGAACAACGGAGGAAAGGGGGAAAAAAGAGCAUGUUGCGGUGCGGUCUUUACAAAAGCCAUUCAUCCCAGUGCUUUUACUAACAGGCAUCAAAUGAGAUUCCUGCAGUAG
This 1489-nucleotide long non-coding RNA is filed under the name Anas platyrhynchos platyrhynchos (common mallard). RNAcentral describes it as "lncRNA (ENSAPLG00000027492.1)". The record is from RNAcentral. Lineage: Eukaryota; Metazoa; Chordata; Aves; Anseriformes; Anatidae.